UACGUAGGGGGCAAGCGUUAUCCGGAUUUACUGGGUGUAAAGGGAGCGUAGACGGUUAUGCAAGUCUGAAGUGAAAGCCCAAGGCUCAACCAUGGGACUGCUUUGGAAACUGUAAAACUGGAGUGCAGGAGAGGUAAGCGGAAUUCCUAGUGUAGCGGUGAAAUGCGUAGAUAUUAGGAGGAACACCAGUGGCGAAGGCGGCUUACUGGACUGUAACUGACGUUGAGGCUCGAAGGCGUAGGGAGCAAACAGG
Molecule: ribosomal RNA, 253 nt
Filed under: uncultured bacterium
Lineage: Bacteria
Description: partial 16S ribosomal RNA
Rfam family: Bacterial small subunit ribosomal RNA
Source: RNAcentral